This 2385-nucleotide long non-coding RNA is filed under the name Vigna radiata. RNAcentral's name for it is "long non-coding RNA (VRAD_LNC008531)". Lineage: Eukaryota; Viridiplantae; Streptophyta; Magnoliopsida; Fabales; Fabaceae. The record is from RNAcentral.
GGGGGGCUUGAAAAGGUUUUGCAAAAAUUAAAGAACUCAAUAAAGACACAGAUGCAAACAACUAAUUUAAGCUAGCAUGGUAAUUAAACUAACACUAUUAAAGACCUUNGCAAACAACUAAUUUAAGCUAGCAUGGUAAUUAAACUAACACUAUUAAAGACCUUAGACAACAUUCAAACAUCAAACAUUGCUACAAACAAAUUAACAAACACAGUUAAAAAUAAUUAAAUUCAACACUAGUUCAAACACAUUAAACUCAACCUAUUAACUCGAUUAAUUAAAAACCAAAGAAACCGACAAGCCUAACUUAAUCCUAGCAAUUAACUUGACUAAAUGACAAUUAACAAUUAAUUUUAAAAGUCCAAUUGGCCAAAAAGAACCUCAUGGCCGUGCACCACACUCCACCAAGUCCACUUCAAUUUUUACUCUUCAAGAAACCAUCCAAUUUGUUGUCUUUUUGUCCUCAUGUGCACCAUUUCUCAAAAGGAGUUAAAUUAUACUUAAAACAAUCCAUUUGAAACCAUGCCCUUACUCCUUUCAUGCAGCAAAUUCGGAUUCCAAUACCAAGGCACAAAUUUAUGUGAGCAAGAAAGAAGUGGCUACCAAAAAGUACUUCCAAACCAAAGGGUAAAUGAAUGUAACCAUGGGUGGUUCUACCAAUGUGCCAAGUAAGCUAAAUCAAAUGUAAAAAAACUCCAAAAACCUCCAAACACCGUUAAGUUUCUGCAGCAACAAUGCAAGAGCCAUGCUCAAAGUGGAAACCUUCCUAGAAUGACAAGAAGCAUCUUUUUUGGUUUGCCCAAAAAUGGUAAAAAAUUAAUGGCACCAUCUCUCCUCCUUUCCAUCUCCAAUUUCGGUUUUUCUUCUCAACCAACACACCUCCAGCUUGUUCUUCUUCCUCACACCGAAAAAACUCACCUAAAAGACCCCAUUUCAAAGUUCAAAUUCAUUCAAGAACAUAAACCCAAACCACUACUACUUCAACUCAACCCAAUCUUCUAUUUCUUCAAGCUCUUGUGCAAAAACGAAAAUAACAAUUCAACCUUCAAUUCCAGCACUGUUCAGCCACCAAAACACCAUCAAACUCUGGUCCCAAACUGUUUUCAAACAUCCAAACCGAAAUAUAGAAGGAAAGAGGCAAACCCACAACACCCAUACAACACCUUAAGCUCUCUUCAACCCAAAACUCACACAGAACUCCAUUUUCAUCAAGCAACCAACCAAAAUGCCAAGGAAACCGUGAAUAACAGCAGCAAAUGAGUAGGAAAAUGAAAAUAUAACUUCACUCAAACCCAAAAACCUCCAUGGAAAGGCAAAGACAAGCUUAAAAGCUCAAGCUUCAAACACCAAGAACAAGCAAAAGGAGGUAGAAAAGAACGGAUUUUCACCACCAAUGAGUUAAGACAACCAAGAGUAAGUCAAGGGAGGAAGAAAAUCUGCAUCAUAUUCAUUGAAAAUGGUCCAAAACCGUGGCACCAAGCAAGCACCAUGAGAGCAUGUUCAAAAUAAGAGAAACCCUAGAAGAAAGAAGCAAAAACCAUGAGCUAUGGGUCUCUAAGUGUGUGGCUCGGUAUUCACACCCUAUAUGACCAAGAAUUACUAUUUGGUAGGGUCCACACACUACAAGUCAGCCCUAAAGAGAUGUCACAUGGCCCCCACAUUUGGUUUUUUACAAAAAUGCCCCUAAAAGGGUCCAAAACACCUAAUUCUAAUUAGGGCUUCUAGAAAACGAAAUUACAACUUUAAUUAGAAUUUAAAUGACUAAGUGUUGUGCCUUUGAAUGUGUCACACCAUAUCCCAAUGCUCCAGAUGAUGUUUCCACAACUUCCCUGCAACCAGAAAUGCGCUUAAUCAGCUUAGAAAAUCCAAAUUAGCACAAUUACGAAUUUCUGACCAAAUUAAGCAGAAUUUGGAAAACGGGGAACUAACAGACAAUUAAACACAAUUCUCUGGUUUAUUUAAGUGCAAUAAACUAAAUAUAGUUUAAGAAUUAACGACUCGUCAAUUAUGAUGAAUUGGCUAGAUUGGUUCCUCUUCUUGUUUUGUUUUUGUAUAUAUGUGUGCAUCUUGUCUCUUACAGUUUUGUUCAGAAAAAAAAAAGAGAGAGAGAAAGAGAUAGGAUGAGAAAAAGAAAAAAAAACAGAAAAAUAGUGAAAAAUGAAAAAAAAAAAUUGUGAAUAAUGGAGUCAAGAAGAGGAUGACAUUAGAGGUUGUGGGUGUGUUUGAAUGUGUUUACACUUGUUCCCCAUUGCUCCUCUAUUCCUUAUGGUUUGUAGCUUCUUAUCCAGAUGUAUCCUCCCUUGUCGUUGGCCCCAUUACAACCAUAAAAAUACCUUUUGAUUUGAAUAUGCGUAUAUGCUUGAGUGUUGAUAUUAGAGGCUUGCC